CCUACGGGAGGCAGCAGUAGGGAAUCUUUCACAAUGGGCGAAAGCCUGAUGGAGCAACGCCGCGUGCAGGAUGAAGGCCUUCGGGUUGUAAACUGCUUUUAUAAGCGAGAAAUAUGAUGGUAACUUAUGAAUAAGGAUCGGCUAACUACGUGCCAGCAGCCGCGGGCAUACGUAGGAUCCGAGCAUUAUCCGGAGUGACUGGGUGUAAAGAGUUGCGUAGGUGGCAUAGUAAGUAGCUAGUGAAAUCUGGAGGCUCAACCAUUCAGACGAUUAGCUAAACUGCUAAGCUCGAGACCGUUAGGGGUAACUGGAAUUUCUAGUGUAGGAGUGAAAUCCGUAGAUAUUAGAAGGAACACCGAUAGCGUAGGCAGGUUACUGGGACGGUUCUGACACUAAGGCACGAAAGCGUAGGGAGCAGACGGGAUUAGAUACCCGGGUAGUC
Molecule: ribosomal RNA, 442 nt
Filed under: uncultured bacterium
Lineage: Bacteria
Description: partial 16S ribosomal RNA
Rfam family: Bacterial small subunit ribosomal RNA
Source: RNAcentral